RNAcentral lists this long non-coding RNA (839 nucleotides) under Pan troglodytes (chimpanzee). RNAcentral's name for it is "lincRNA". The record is from RNAcentral. Lineage: Eukaryota; Metazoa; Chordata; Mammalia; Primates; Hominidae.
UUUCAUCAGCCUCACUUCUAUGAACUCUCAGAGCUGAUUACCAACUCCUACCACUGUUAACCCUCAUCCAGGAAAAAGCUUAUGUCUUUAACAUUCUGAGUGGGCUUCAGCAUCCUUGCAUAUGUUCAAUUCUUAAAAACCUGUUGAAAUAAAAGAUCAGGAGACAUAGGAAGGAUGCCAGAAGAGAGCGUGGCCUCAUGUGUACCAGCUCUCUGCUCUCCUUUGCCUUGGGACGUUCCAUCCCUGGAAGUUUCCCUGCCCACAUCUUUGUAGAGAGUCCAUUCUCCAAGCUUCAGUGUGUCAUCUGUGAGGACUGUGACCAACCUGGUACAUCGCCUCAGGGCAUUCAUUUCAGGCUCCUUCUAAAUGGUCAAGUUUUCAAGAUUGUUUUGGCUCUAGCAAAACAAGUUGGAACAUUCACAUCAUCCAGUAAACCUCAGGUUCUCCUCCUGCCUUUUGCUAAGUAUAUGUCUUGAUGACAAGCCUUCUGCUGAUGAGCUGUGUUUCUGGACCGAUCAUGGUAGAAGUCAAUUAACGUGUCCCUCACUUGGGGUUUCUCAAGGUCAUCUAUGAACUGACUCUGUCUCAAAAAAAAAAAAGAAAAAAAAGAAAAGAAAGAACGAAAAAAAAAAACUAGGACAUGGCUAACAGGAAUGGGGACAAAGAAUCUGCACUGAUGAGGAAACUGAAACAGAAAAUCCAGAGUAAAUUCCACCAGGCCACACAGCAAGGUCUGAUAGAGCCAGGAGAGACUUUAUGAAAUCCAGACUCUCACACUAAUGCUCUAUCAGCUAGACCUCCAUGUGAGUCUCCCCAAUGUAGGUAGGAAGUGCUUUCCC